This 427-nucleotide long non-coding RNA is filed under the name Gouania willdenowi (blunt-snouted clingfish). Its description in RNAcentral is "lncRNA (ENSGWIG00000011401.1)". Lineage: Eukaryota; Metazoa; Chordata; Actinopteri; Blenniiformes; Gobiesocidae. The record is from RNAcentral.
CGCAGCGUCUGAAAGCAUCUUUUAAAACCUAACUGAUCAUUUUUUACAGAAACGGUCUUUAUUUGACAGUUUUUGAACAAACAGAAUCAGGAUGAAUAACGGUAACAUCAGUGUGGUUGUUUUCUUUCUCCUGGUGAUGAUGACAUCAUCUCUGUGUGCUCCAUUAAUGAGCAGAGCGUUUGAGGACGUAAAAGAAGCGGAGCUGAUUUUUGACCCCCUCCAGCCUCACAUUGACCUCAACGACGAUUACGGUGUGAAACCUCACCCUCUCCCAGUGUUUCCAGGCAUUGACGGUCCUUAUCAACCAAACUUGGAGGAUGAAUAUUACUGAUCCGAUGACACGGGGAAGACUAGUUUUGUCCCAUAUUCUACUGUAACUCAAUGUAGACAAUAGGAAAACAGACAAAAACUACAUGUAUUUAUGAGG